CACAGAGCAGGGCGGUGGGUAACACCCACCCGGGGCAACCCGCGGGACAGUGCCACAGAGAACAGACCGCCUCCCGAAUCCAGCGCCACCGGACGACGGAGGUAAGGGUGAAACGGUGGAGCAAGAGACCACCAGCAUGCCGGGCGACCGGCGUGGCUAGGCAAACCCCGCCCGGAGCAAGAUCAGACAGCACACGCAGGUUCCGACCGGAAGGGCUGCUCGCCCGAGUGUGCGGGUAGAUCGCUGGAGGCCGUCGGCAACGGCGGUCGUAGAUGGAUGGUCGCCCCUCCUCCCGCAAGGGCGGAGG
Molecule: unclassified non-coding RNA, 307 nt
Filed under: Nocardioides plantarum
Lineage: Bacteria; Bacillati; Actinomycetota; Actinomycetes; Propionibacteriales; Nocardioidaceae
Description: partial ribonuclease P RNA
Rfam family: Bacterial RNase P class A
About the family: Ribonuclease P (RNase P) is a ubiquitous endoribonuclease, found in archaea, bacteria and eukarya as well as chloroplasts and mitochondria.
Source: RNAcentral